AUGGAUAUUCCUCCCAAUAUAAAUGAGUAUAAGCAUAACUCGAAUAGUUAUGUUCAUAAUAAUAACGACAAUAAUGACAGAACAUAUAUCGAAAGGAAUCAUAUAGACAAUGUUUAUAAUGACUCUUUUUCUGAACACUUAUUUAAUAUAAACACGAAAUAUACUAGUAAUGGAAAUUGUAAUAACAAUAUAAACAUUUCUCAAGGGUAUAAAAAUAAUGACCCUUAUCAAAAAUCCCAUGUUGAACAUAUACCUAACUAUAUUGAUCCAUAUCAUACUUUCAAUGAAGAUAAUAAUAUUUUUGAAAAAAAAAAACAUAAUACUUUUAAUUUUAUUAACAAUUUUAAACAUAAUAGGGUAAAUGUUCAGGGGGGAACAGAAAAUGAAGAAAAAGAAGAAGAGGAAGAAGAGGAAGAAGAUGAAGAAGAUGAAAAUGAAGAAGAUGAAAAUGAUGAAGAUGAUGAUGAUGAUGAUGAAGAUGAUGAUGAUGAUGAUGAAGAUGAUGAUGAAGAUGAUGAAUAUAUAUGCGAUGACGAUAUGAUCCAUAGCGAUGAUAGUCAUUAUAUAUUUGAAAAUAAUACCAUGAGUAAUGAUAAUAAUGGUAAUAGUGGGGAGGAUAAUGAAGAUGUGUUGAAAUAUUAUAAUACUGUUAAUAAUGAUAAAAUAAAUGAUGAAAUUUUAUAUAAACAAAUUGACGAUUUAUUAAAUUAUAAAUCUCCAAAAACGAGAAGAAGCUAUAAAACACAAACAAAUAAUAAGUUAAAUUUUGUUGAUGAAAAUGAAAUUGAUAAUACCUUAUAUAAUCAGGAAAAAGAUAAACUUUUUUUUUCUUUUUUUUUAAAAGAUUUAUAUCAAUUCAAAAAUAUUCAAACAAAUGAGUAUGACGAUCAGACAACUAUAAAUAAUAAACAAAAAAAUGUUAGUAUUGUAGAUAAUAGGAAUAGGUGUUACUCUCUAUCCGAAUUAUACAAUAAAACUAACCAGUGUGAACAAAUUGAACAGCAUGAUCCAGUAAUGCAACAUAAGCAAAGUGCACAAUACGGCAAACCUAUACAACAUGAACAAACGAUAGAGACUAAACAACCCGUACACAUUGAACAACCGAUAGAAGUUGAACAACCCAUACAGAUUGAACAACCGAUAGAGGUUGAACAACCNNNNNNNNNNGUUGAACAACCCAUACAGAUUGAACAACCGAUAGAGGUUGAACAACCUGUACAAAGCGAACAACCAAACGUACACCUAACAAGCAUAAAACAAUCCAUUAGUAACGACAAAAUAAUAUUUGAUGAUAAACGAUUACUCAAUAUUAAUAACAUAAACAUAAAUAAUAUUUUAUGUUUUUAUUUUUGUACCAACGAAACAUCCACAUUACAUAAAAAAAAAUUGGUACAAAAAAUAUAUACAUACGAUUCGUACAUAUUUGAAGAUGAUGGAAGUAUAAGUAGAGAUAGUAGUAAUUUAAAUUCUAAUUUAUGUGUUAGUGAUGGUGUUAGUGCUAUCAGUGGUAGUGUCAACGGUAGUGGUAGUAGUGGUAGUGGUAGUGGUAGUAGUGGUAGUGGUAGUAGUGGUAGUAGUGGUAGUGGUAGUGGUAGUGGUAGUGGUAGUGGUAGUGGUAGUGGUAGUGGUAGUGGUAGUGAUAGUGGUAGUAGUAGUGAUAAUAAUUAUAGCAGCACAAGUACCAUCAGUGAUGAAGAACUUUUAUUUUUAAAAUGUAAAAAUUCAGAUGAAUUUGAUAAUAAUUGCGACAAUAAUGGAUAUAUUUAUAACGAAGAGAAUGAAUAUUUUAAUAAAAUUAGAAAAAGAAAAAAAAAAAGAAGAAAAAGAAGGAGGAGGAGGAGGAGAAAAAAAAUAAUAAAAAAUAAAAAGAGAGUACAUAAUAAUGGUGAUAGAGAAAGUAAAAUACAUUAUGAACAAAAUAAAAACGAAAACAAAUUAAUAAAAUCAAUUAAACCAACAAAAAUGGAUAAAAAUGUUGAAAAACUUAUGAACCGAGCUAAUAAUUUAUACAUUAAUAACAAAUUUGAAGAUUGUAUAAUUUUAUUAGAACAAAUAAUUAAAAUGUCACCUUAUUCACAUGAUCCUUUUCAUUUGUUAGGAUUAAUAUAUGAAAGAGAAUUUAAAAAUAUAAAAAAAGCAAUUAAUUAUUAUUUCAUUGCAGCACAACUAUCACAUAAUGAUUUUUUGUCAUGGUAUAAUAUUGUUGAUUUGUGUAAACUUCAGAAACAAUAUAAUCUUAUUAUAUAUUGUUUAUAUAAAGUAUUAAAAAUUUAUAAUAGAAAAAGAAAAAAAUAUAAAAAAAAAAAAAAUGAUAAAAAAAAAAAAAAUGAUAAAAAAAAAAAAAAUGAUAAAAAAAANNNNNNNNNNNNNNNNNNNNNNNNNNNNNNNNNNNNNNNNNNNNNNNNNNNNNNNNNNNNNNNNNNNNNNNNNNNNNNNNNNNNNNNNNNNNNNNNNNNNAAAAAAAAAAAAAAAAAUGAUAAAAAAAACAAAAGUGAUAAAAAAAACAAAAGUGAUAAAAAAGAAGAUAAAGGUAAGGAUAUAUAUAAAGAUGAAGACGACAACUGCAAUAACUUUGUAAAACAUAUAUAUUUUAAUUUAGCAUUUACUUAUAUAUUAAUGGAAGAUUAUAAAAACGCAUUGAAAAAACUAUUAUACUUGAAACAUGUUAACAAAAGUGAAUAUAAUAUUUUGCUUGAUAUAUAUAUUUAUAUAUGUAUAAUAAAUAUAAGAAGGCCUGAUGAAUGUUAUACAUUUUUAAAGAAUAUUUAUUUGUGUAUAAUGCAAAACAAAGAAAACGAAUUUAAAAUAAAUAAUGAUCAAUUGUGUAAGACCCAUAUAGAUGAAAAUAAAAACAUCAAACCACAUGAACAAUGUAACUUAUUUAGUUAUGCUGAAAAUACGAUUAUAUCUUUACUUAUGCAAACACAAAUAUUAAAUAAUAAAUAUGAUGAAUGUAUAUAUGUAUACAAAACUAUAACAAAAACAAAUUAUAGUAUACAUAUAGAUAUAUUUAUACAAUUUAUCAAAUCAAUUAUUAUGAUCAAUCAUAAUAUAAAUUAUGAUUUUUUAAAAUAUAACUAUUUUUUUAAAACAAUUUUUAAUAAUUAUAUUUUUUAUGAAGAUCUUAUUUUUGAUAUAGCUGAAUCAUUUUAUAUGAAAGAAAAUUAUUAUUCUGCUAUUAACUGUUAUCAGUUUUUAUAUGAAAAAAAAGACAAAUGUUUUAUUAUGAUGGAGGAGGAAAAAAAUAAUAAUAAUAGUGAAAAAUGUAUUAACUUAGGGUAUAAUACUGUAACUAAUUGUCAUGAUUAUAAGGACAGUGGUAACUAUAAUAGUGAUAAUACGAAAGAAGAAACUAUCACUACUAUUACCACUCCCUCAAGUAGUACAAUACAAUUUAAUAGUAAAAUUGACUUUGUUCUUAUAACAUACAAGUUUGUAAAAUGUUAUUAUUAUUUAGAAGAUUAUAUAAAAGCAGAACAAAUAAUUGUAAAACUAUUAAAUAAUGAGAAAAUAAAAAAAAAUAAUAUUGAAAUUGAUUUAAAAUGUUUAUAUCUAAAUAUAUUAUAUAAAUUAAAAAAAUAUAAUAAAUCAAUUAAUAUUUUAUUAAGUAUAAAAGAAAAAAAAUUACGUUUAAUUUCUUUAAUUCCUAAUCCAUUAAGUAAUAAAGAAAGAGAAAAACAAUUAAUAAAAAUUUUAAACAAAAAAAAUAAAUUGUUACUAUACACAUCACACAAUAAUUAUAUUAUACAUAUGUGUUAUUUUUUAUGUCCUCCGAAUAAUGAUAUUUUUUAUAAAUAUAAUAACUAUUUAAUUAGAUUUACUAUUAACGACAUUAUUAAAAUUAAUGAAAAUAUAUGUUUUUGUUAUUUUUGUGUAAAAUAUAAUUUUCGAAUUCUGGAUUUGCUCUAUAUCUAUAACAUACUACUCUUGUUAAAAAAUAGUGACAACAAGCAAAGCGGGAAAAACGGGAAAAAAAAGCUAAAAUGGGAAAAAAUGAAAAAUUAG
Piliocolobus tephrosceles (Ugandan red Colobus) is the source of this 4005-nucleotide long non-coding RNA. Lineage: Eukaryota; Metazoa; Chordata; Mammalia; Primates; Cercopithecidae. The record is from Ensembl.